Molecule: non-coding RNA, 22 nt
Filed under: Arabidopsis thaliana (thale cress)
Lineage: Eukaryota; Viridiplantae; Streptophyta; Magnoliopsida; Brassicales; Brassicaceae
Source: RNAcentral
CCACAAUCGGGUCCGUACUGCC